GCCCAUGUAGCUCAAUGGACAGAGCAAAUGCCUUCUAAGCAUUAGGUUGGGAGUUCGAUUCUCUCCAUGGGCG
Mycoplasmataceae bacterium CE_OT135 is the source of this 73-nucleotide non-coding RNA. NCBI's taxonomy places the organism in Bacteria, Bacillati, Mycoplasmatota, Mollicutes, Mycoplasmatales, Mycoplasmataceae. The record is from Rfam.